AAUCCCUUAUCGAUUAACAAUUAGAGGGCAAGUCUGGUGCCAGCAGCCGCGGUAAUUCCAGCUCUAAUAGCGUAUAUUAAAGUUGUUGCAGUUAAAAAGCUCGUAGUUGGAUUUCGGCGUGCGCUCAGGCUGGUCGGCCGUCAAGGUCUGUACCGUUUGGGUCACGCCCCACUGUAGGAUACUCACCGCUGUCCUUAACUGGGUGGCGGUCAAAGGGGGUGUGCAUGGGGGCAACUCUGUGCAUAUCUCUGGGGUUCCUACUCUUUUACUUUGAGCAAAUUAGAGUGUUCAAAGCAGGCAAUCGAGCCUUGAAUACUUCAGCAUGGGAUAAUGGAACAGGACUGGGGUCCUGAUUUCGUUGGUUUCUGGGAUCUCAGUAAUGAUUAAUAGGGAUAGUUGGGGGCAUUAGUAUUUAAUUGUCAGAGGUGAAAUUCUUGGAUUUAUGAAAGACUAACUUCUGCGAAAGCAUUUGCCAAGGAUGUUUUCAUUAAUCAAGAACGAAAGUUAGGGGAUCGAAGACGAUCAGAUACCGUCGUAGUCUUAACCAUAAACGAUGCCGACCAGCGAUUGGGAGACGUUACAUGGAUGACUCCCCCAGCAGCUUGCGAGAAAUCACAAGUCUUUGGGUUCCGGGGGGAGUAUGGUCGCAAGGCUGAAACUUAAAGGAAUUGACGGAAGGGCACCACCAGGAGUGGAGCCUGCGGCUUAAUUUGACCCAACACGGGGAAACUUACCAGGUCCAGACAUAGUAAGGAUUGACAGACUUGAGAGCUCUUUCUUGAUUCUAUGGGUGGUGGUGCAUGGCCGUUCUUAGUUGGUGGAGUGAUUUGUCUGGUUAAUUCCGUUAACGAUCGAGACCUUAACCUGCUAAAUAUGUCACUGGUAGACUUCUGCCAAAACAGGUGGGUGUCUAGGGGAAAGUUUCGAUGGACUCCGACGCAUUCAUCUGUGGAUGACUACCAGGAUGUACUUCUUAGAGGGACUAUCUGUAUCAAAGCAGAUGGAAGUUUGAGGCAAUAACAGGUCUGUGAUGCCCUUAGAUGUUCUGGGCCGCACGCGCGCUACACUGACAAGUUCAACGAGUUUAACACCUUGCUCGAUAGGGCUGGGUAAUCUUUGAAAAACUUGUCGUGAUGGGGAUAGAUCAUUGUAAUUAUUGGUCUUCAACGAGGAAUUCCUAGUAAGCGUGAGUCAUCAGCUCGCGUUGAUUACGUCCCUGCCCUUUGUACACACCGCCCGUCGCUCCUACCGAUUGAAUGAUCCGGUGAAAUGUUGGGAGCUGGGGUCUUUUGGCGGCGGGGCAACUCGUCGUCAGGGAUUCUGCAAACUUCAUUAAACCUUAUCAUUUAGA
Molecule: ribosomal RNA, 1351 nt
Filed under: metagenome
Description: SSU rRNA
Rfam family: Eukaryotic small subunit ribosomal RNA
Source: RNAcentral